CCCUCCUCUUCUGCGUCAUCAACGCCGCCCAGGGGCUGCUGAUCUUCCUGUGCCACUGCCUGGGACACCCCAAGGUGCGGGCCUGGUACCGGUCCCUGCUGUGCCCGCGCUCCCGCCCCUACUCGGAGUUCACCAGUCACACCAGUAACACCAGUAACACCAGUAACACCAGUGCCAGCAGCGUCCGGGGCUCCCAGUCACACCAGUGACACCAGUAACAGCAGGUGCCGAAAAUUGCAGGAAAAAUCAAAAAAUUCCAGGAAAACCGAGGGAAUUCUGGGAAAUUCGGAAUUUUGGGGAAUUUGGGAUUUUGGGAAAUUUGGAAUUCUGGGAAAUUCGGAAUUUUUGGAAAUUUGGGGGUUUUUUUUUUUUUGUUUUGUUUUUGGUUUUUUUUUUUUGCCGCCUCCUCUCCCACAUCUGGGUGAAAAAAAAAGUUCAGUUUUGGGGUGAAAUUCCAGGAUUUUGGGUGAAAUUCCGGGAUUUUGGGUGAAAUUCUGGGAUUUGGGGUGAAAUUCCGGGAUUUUGGGUGAAAUUCCGGGAUUUUGGGGUGAAAUUCCAGGAUUUUGGGUGAAAUUCCAGGAUUUUGGGGUGAAAUUCCAGGAUUUUGGGUUGAAAUUCCGGGAUUUUGGGUGAAAUUCCGGGAUUUUGGGGUGAAAUUCCGGGAUUUUGGGGUUCCAGGACGUUUUUGGGGUAAAAUUCACUUUUUUUUUUU
Long non-coding RNA from Cinclus cinclus, 712 nucleotides. RefSeq lists it as uncharacterized. The transcript is spliced from 3 exons. NCBI's taxonomy places the organism in Eukaryota, Metazoa, Chordata, Aves, Passeriformes, Cinclidae. The record is from RefSeq and is a predicted model, not a curated record.